UACGUAGGGGGCGAGCGUUGUCCGGAAUCAUUGGGCGUAAAGAGCGUGUAGGCGGACUGGAAGGUCUGCUCUGAAAGCCCGGGGCUCAACCCCGGGAGGCGGGUGGAUACUGCUCAGCUCGAGUCCGGAAGAGGAGUGUGGAAUUCCUGGUGUAGCGGUGAAAUGCGCAGAUAUCAGGAGGAACACCAAUGGCGAAGGCAGCACUCUGGGACGGUACUGACGCUGAGGAGCGAAAGCGUGGGGAGCGAACAGG
Molecule: ribosomal RNA, 253 nt
Filed under: uncultured bacterium
Lineage: Bacteria
Description: partial 16S ribosomal RNA
Rfam family: Bacterial small subunit ribosomal RNA
Source: RNAcentral